RNAcentral lists this ribosomal RNA (752 nucleotides) under uncultured archaeon. RNAcentral's name for it is "bacterial SSU rRNA". It matches the Rfam family "Archaeal small subunit ribosomal RNA", at positions 168 to 921 of the family's 1478-position model. The record is from RNAcentral.
UGCUGGAAUGCAUCGAGAUCGAAAGCUCCGGCGCCUAAGGAUGGGUCUGCGGCCUAUCAGGUAGUAGUGGGUGUAGCGUACCUACUAGCCUACGACGGGUACGGGUUGUGAGAGCAAGAGCCCGGAGAUGGAUUCUGAGACACGAAUCCAGGCCCUACGGGGUGCAGCAGGCGCGAAAACUUUACAAUGCUGGAAACAGCGAUAAGGGGACCUCGAGUGCCAGGUUACAAAUCUGGCUGUCGUGAUGCCUAAAAAGCAUUGCAUAGCAAGGGCCGGGCAAGACCGGUGCCAGCCGCCGCGGUAACACCGGCGGCUCGAGUGGUAACCGUUAUUAUUGGGUCUAAAGGGUCUGUAGCCGGCCGGAUAAGUCUCUUGGGAAAUCCAGCAGCUCAACUGUUGGGCUUUCAGGAGAUACUGUCUGGCUCGAGGCCGGGAGAGGUGAGAGGUACUUCAGGGGUAGGGGUGAAAUCUUGUAAUCCUUGAAGGACCACCAGUGGCGAAGGCGUCUCACCAGAACGGACCUGACGGCAAGGGACGAAAGCUAGGGGCACGAACCGGAUUAGAUACCCGGGUAGUCCUAGCCGUAAACGAUACUCGCUAGGUGUCGGCCACGGUGCGACCGUUGUCGGUGCCGUAGGGAAGCCGUGAAGCGAGCCACCUGGGAAGUACGGCCGCAAGGCUGAAACUUAAAGGAAUUGGCGGGGGAGCACCACAACGGGUGGAGCUUGCGGUUUAAUUGGACUCAACGCCGG